GUCUCUGUGGUCUAAUGGAUAUGAUACUUGCCUUGGCAGCGAGAGGUUGUAGGUUCGUAUCCUGCCAGAGACA
Molecule: non-coding RNA, 73 nt
Organism: Anneissia japonica
Lineage: Eukaryota; Metazoa; Echinodermata; Crinoidea; Comatulida; Comatulidae
Source: the annotation of a RefSeq genome assembly